GAGUAACGCGUGAAUAAUCUGUCCUAUACAGGGGGAUAACGCAUCGAAAGAUGUGCUAAUACCGCGUAGGACCACAGUGCCGCAUGGCACAGAGGUGAAAGGAGCAAUCCAGUAUAGGGUGAGUUCGCGUCUGAUUAGAUAGUUGGUGAGGUAACGGGCCCACCCAAGUCAACGAUCAGUAGCCGACCUGAGAGGGUGAUCGGCCACAUUGGGACUGAGACACGGCCCAGACUCCUACGGGAGGCAGCAGUGGGGAAUAUUGGGCAAUGGGCGAAAGCCUGACCCAGCAACGCCGCGUGAAGGAAGAAGGUUUUCGGAUCGUAAACUUCUGUCCUAUAUGAAGAGGAGAAGACGGUAGUAUAGGAGGAAGCCCGGCUAACUACGUGCC
Molecule: ribosomal RNA, 388 nt
Filed under: uncultured bacterium
Lineage: Bacteria
Description: bacterial SSU rRNA
Rfam family: Bacterial small subunit ribosomal RNA
Source: RNAcentral